Molecule: ribosomal RNA, 300 nt
Filed under: Triticum aestivum (bread wheat)
Lineage: Eukaryota; Viridiplantae; Streptophyta; Magnoliopsida; Poales; Poaceae
Description: partial small subunit ribosomal RNA
Source: RNAcentral
AUGGUGCUUGCAGUUGUUGUGGGUGCUGAUGGUUCACUGUCUUGGUUUCUUGGAAUGGUGAUUCAAGAAGGGACACCAUCGUGUGGAUGGACCAUAGGGCUCUUGACCAAGUCGAGUGAAUUAAUUCUCACAGUUCACCGAAUUGCAUUGGCAAAUCAUGAAAGGUGUAAUGUUCACGGAUUUUUGUUAGAUGAUCUGUUGGUCCGGUUUAAUUUUAGCGGGCAUGAGGCAUCUGGGAAACAUGUUUCAAGGGCCUUGUUUGUCGAUCUGGAGCCCACUGUUAGUAGAUUAUGGCAGUAA